GCAAGUCGAGCGGAAACGAUCCUAGCUUGCUAGGAGGCGUCGAGCGGCGGACGGGUGUGUAACGCAUGGGAAUUGCCUGAAAGUGGGGGACAACCUGGGGAAACUCAGGCUAAUACCCCAUACGUCCUACGGGAGAAAGCAGGGGAUCUUCGGACCUUGCGGUAUCGGAUGAGCCCAUGUCGGAUUAGCUUGUUGGUGAGGUAAUGGCUCACCAAGGCGACGAUCCGUAGCUGGUCUGAGAGGAUGAUC
RNAcentral lists this ribosomal RNA (249 nucleotides) under uncultured bacterium. RNAcentral describes it as "partial 16S ribosomal RNA". It matches the Rfam family "Bacterial small subunit ribosomal RNA", at positions 57 to 305 of the family's 1533-position model. The record is from RNAcentral.